GAGACGGAUAAACUGUAAGAGUUUAGUUAGAUGUUGACCUGCAGUAAAGAUUGGCUAUGGCCUUACCAUGAAAGUCUAAAGAAGGAGAAAAGAGUGAAAGCACCGUCGAGAAGACCUGUUUGAAGACUGUGUAACUGUGGGAAGGGCCAGAUCUCUAAGUACACAAGGGGUUUCUCAUGUUCAGAAACUCUUCAAUUCAACUUAAUCUCAAAAAGCAUAAAGCAGAACUAGUCUAAGAACAAGAUUAGAAGACUGUAUAGCUCAGAGAGGAGAUGAAUAAGAGGGGAUGUGAUUAAAGUAUACAAAAUAUU
This is a long non-coding RNA of Mauremys reevesii (Reeves's turtle), 311 nucleotides long. RefSeq lists it as uncharacterized. Lineage: Eukaryota; Metazoa; Chordata; Testudines; Geoemydidae. The record is from RefSeq and is a predicted model, not a curated record. The transcript is spliced from 2 exons.